CCUACGGGAGGCAGCAGUGAGGGAUAUUGGUCAAUGGGGGAAACCCUGACCCAGCAACGCCGCGUGAGGGAAGACGGUUUUCGGAUUGUAAACCUCUGUCCUCUGUGAAGAUAAUUACGGUAGCAGAGGAAGAAUCUCCGGCUACCUACUGCCCAGCAGCCGCGGUACUACUUAGGGAGCAGGCGUUGUCCGGCUUUACUGGGUGGAAAGGGUGCUACGGCGGCCCUGCAAGUCAGAAGUGAAUUCCAUGGGCUUAACCCGGGAACUGCUUUUGAAAUUGUAGGGCUUGAGUGAAGUAGAGGUAGGCGGAAUUCCUGGUGUAGCGGUGAAAUGCGUAGAGAUCGGGAGGAACACCAGUGGCGAAGGCGGCCUGCUGGGCUGUAACUGACGCUGAAGCACGAAAGCGUGGGUAGCAAACAGGAUUAGAUACCCUAGUAGUC
This 440-nucleotide ribosomal RNA is filed under the name uncultured bacterium. Its description in RNAcentral is "partial 16S ribosomal RNA". It matches the Rfam family "Bacterial small subunit ribosomal RNA", at positions 338 to 795 of the family's 1533-position model. The record is from RNAcentral.